This 270-nucleotide ribosomal RNA is filed under the name uncultured Planctomycetota bacterium. RNAcentral describes it as "uncultured planctomycete partial 16S ribosomal RNA". It matches the Rfam family "Bacterial small subunit ribosomal RNA", at positions 565 to 833 of the family's 1533-position model. Lineage: Bacteria; Pseudomonadati; Planctomycetota. The record is from RNAcentral.
GAGCACGUAGGUGGGUUUGUAAGUCAGAUGUGAAAGCCUCCUGUUCAACGGGAGAAUUGCAUCUGAAACUACUGAUCUUGAGUGUAGGAGGGGAGAAUGGAACUUCUGGUGGAGCGGUGAAAUGCGUAGAUAUCAGAAGGAACGCCGGCGGCGAAAGCGAUUCUCUGGCCUAUUACUGACACUCAGUGUGCGAAAGCUAGGGGAGCAAACGGGAUUAGAUACCCCGGUAGUCCUAGCCGUAAACGAUGGGCACUAAGUAGAGGGGUUAGU